ACGCACGCUGGCGGCGUGCUUAACACAUGCAAGUCGAACGGAAAGGCCCUGCUUUUGUGGGGUGCUCGAGUGGCGAACGGGUGAGUAACACGUGAGUAACCUGCCCUUGACUUUGGGAUAACUUCAGGAAACUGGGGCUAAUACCGGAUAGGAGCUCCUGCUGCAUGGCGGGGGUUGGAAAGUUUCGGCGGUUGGGGAUGGACUCGCGGCUUAUCAGCUUGUUGGUGGGGUAGUGGCUUACCAAGGCUUUGACGGGUAGCCGGCCUGAGAGGGUGACCGGCCACAUUGGGACUGAGAUACGGCCCAGACUCCUACGGGAGGCAGCAGUGGGGAAUAUUGCACAAUGGGCGGAAGCCUGAUGCAGCAACGCCGCGUGCGGGAUGACGGCCUUCGGGUUGUAAACCGCUUUCGCCUGUGACGAAGCGUGAGUGACGGUAAUGGGUAAAGAAGCACCGGCUAACUACGUG
This 467-nucleotide ribosomal RNA is filed under the name uncultured bacterium. Its description in RNAcentral is "partial 16S ribosomal RNA". It matches the Rfam family "Bacterial small subunit ribosomal RNA", at positions 29 to 507 of the family's 1533-position model. The record is from RNAcentral.